RNAcentral lists this ribosomal RNA (134 nucleotides) under uncultured Pseudoalteromonas sp. Its description in RNAcentral is "partial 16S ribosomal RNA". It matches the Rfam family "Bacterial small subunit ribosomal RNA", at positions 379 to 505 of the family's 1533-position model. The record is from RNAcentral. Lineage: Bacteria; Pseudomonadati; Pseudomonadota; Gammaproteobacteria; Alteromonadales; Pseudoalteromonadaceae.
CAGCCUGAUGCAGCCAUGCCGCGUGUGUGAAGAAGGCCUUCGGGUUGUAAAGCACUUUCAGUCAGGAGGAAAGGUUAGUAGUUAAUACCUGCUAGCUGUGACGUUACUGACAGAAGAAGCACCGGCUAACUCCG